AUCCAGUUGACGAGUCCCAAAUAGGACGAAACGUGCUCCCUAGAU
This is a non-coding RNA of Schistosoma mansoni, 45 nucleotides long. Lineage: Eukaryota; Metazoa; Platyhelminthes; Trematoda; Strigeidida; Schistosomatidae. The record is from Rfam.